RNAcentral lists this long non-coding RNA (632 nucleotides) under Homo sapiens (human). RNAcentral describes it as "non-protein coding lnc-STK32C-5:1". The record is from RNAcentral. Lineage: Eukaryota; Metazoa; Chordata; Mammalia; Primates; Hominidae.
AAGUUUUGUCGUUUUCCUCAUAUAGAUUUUGUAUACAUUUUGUUAGAUUUUUACUUAGUACCAUUGUUUUGGUGCUAAUUUAAAUGUUAUGGUUUUAAGACACAGCUUCUCGGUUCUGGCUGUUUCCUCCACCCCAUGGUGGCUACUUUGCCUGAGUCCCCUUCACCUGGGUCAACGCCUGGCCUCGCUGCCUCACCCAACACCCCAUGAGGGGAAGGGCUGAGCGGCCCUGAGGGUCAGGUCUAAGGAAGCUGGGGUGGGAAGAAAUGGGAUCAGAACUCAGCAUGAGAAGACCUGGGGAGGCAGCGGCGGUGAGGUGGGGAGGGCACGGCAGGGCAGGGCAGGGACUGCAGCGGGUGGAUCUCGGAUCGCGUCUCCCCUUGGCGCCCACAGCAGCACCCACUACAGAGGGCUCGGGAGCACUCUGUAUCCUGGUGACCUACAGGAGCCAUGGCUGGGUGACAGCAGUUCCCUGAGGGCAAGGACCCCAUCUUCCAGGGUUACCUGGCUCUCCCUGGAGCCCACCACAGCCUGGAGCCCGCCACAGCCUGGGGCCCGCCACAGCCUGGAGUUUCAGGGCUCCUCAGUGCAUGCUCAUGAAAUAAACAACAGCACCUGCCCGUGGGUGGCUG